RNAcentral lists this ribosomal RNA (458 nucleotides) under uncultured bacterium. Its description in RNAcentral is "partial 16S ribosomal RNA". It matches the Rfam family "Bacterial small subunit ribosomal RNA", at positions 338 to 795 of the family's 1533-position model. The record is from RNAcentral.
CCUACGGGUGGCAGCAGUGAGGAAUAUUGCUCAAUGGGCGAGAGCCUGAACCAGCCAUGCCGCGUGAGGGAGUACUGCCUUAUGGUUGUUAAACCCCUUUUGUCGGGGAGCAGGAGCCGGAGUUGUCCAGCUUGGCGAUUACCCGUAGAAAAAGCAUCGGCUACCGCCGUGCCAGCAGCCGCGGUAAUAGGGAGGAUGCGAGCGGUAUCCGGAUUUGUUGGUUUUAAGCGGUGCGCAGGCGGAUUGUUAAGUCAACGGUCAAAUCGUGGGGCUAAACCCCAUCCCGCCGUUGACACUGGGAAUCUAGAGUGUGCGAGAGGGAUGCGGAAUGCGUGGUGUAGCGGUGAAAUGCGUAGAUAUCACGAAGAACACCGGUUGCGAAGGCAGCAUACCGGUGAAAAACUGACGCUCAGGCACGAAAGCGUGGGUAUCGAACAGGAUUAGAUACCCGGGUAGUC